GCCUCGAUAGCACAACUGGGAGUGCAGCAGAUUCUUAAUCUGAAGGUUCUGUGUUCGAGUCACAGUCGGGGCA
Molecule: transfer RNA, 73 nt
Filed under: Nitrospirota bacterium
Lineage: Bacteria; Pseudomonadati; Nitrospirota
Description: Nitrospirae bacterium (sediment metagenome) tRNA-Lys
Rfam family: tRNA
About the family: Transfer RNA (tRNA) molecules are approximately 80 nucleotides in length. Their secondary structure includes four short double-helical elements and three loops (D, anti-codon, and T loops). Further hydrogen bonds mediate the characteristic L-shaped molecular structure. tRNAs have two regions of fundamental functional importance: the anti-codon, which is responsible for specific mRNA codon recognition, and the 3' end, to which the tRNAs corresponding amino acid is attached (by aminoacyl-tRNA synthetases). tRNAs cope with the degeneracy of the genetic code in two manners: having more than one tRNA (with a specific anti-codon) for a particular amino acid; and 'wobble' base-pairing, i.e. permitting non-standard base-pairing at the 3rd anti-codon position.
Source: RNAcentral